Molecule: ribosomal RNA, 222 nt
Filed under: uncultured bacterium
Lineage: Bacteria
Description: partial 16S ribosomal RNA
Rfam family: Bacterial small subunit ribosomal RNA
Source: RNAcentral
CACCUUUGACAUGUACGGAAUUCGCCAGAGAUGGCUUAGUGCUCGAAAGAGAGCCGUAACACAGGUGCUGCAUGGCUGUCGUCAGCUCGUGUCGUGAGAUGUUGGGUUAAGUCCCGCAACGAGCGCAACCCUUGUCAUUAGUUGCUACAUUCAGUUGGGCACUCUAAUGAGACUGCCGGUGACAAACCGGAGGAAGGUGGGGAUGACGUCAAGUCCUCAUGG